AUUGAACGCUGGCGGCAGGCCUAACACAUGCAAGUCGAACGGUAACAGGAAGAAGCUUGCUUCUUUGCUGACGAGUGGCGGACGGGUGAGUAAUGUCUGGGAAACUGCCUGAUGGAGGGGGAUAACUACUGGAGACGGUAGCUAAUACCGCAUAACGUCGCAAGACCAAAGAGGGGGACCUUCGGGCCUCUUGCCAUCGGAUGUGCCCAGAUGGGAUUAGCUAGUAGGUGGGGUAACGGCUCACCUAGGCGACGAUCCCUAGCUGGUCUGAGAGGAUGACCGGCCACACUGGAGCUGAGACACGGUCCAGACUCCUGCGGGAGGCAGCAGUGGGGAAUAUUGCACAAUGGGCGCAAGCCUGAUGCAGCCAUGCCGCGUGUAUGAAGAAGGCCUUCGGGUUGUAAAGUACUUUCAGCGGGGAGGAAGGGAGUAAAGUUAAUACCUGUGCUCAUUGACGUUACCCGCAGAAGAAGCACCGGCUAACUCCGUG
RNAcentral lists this ribosomal RNA (490 nucleotides) under uncultured bacterium. RNAcentral's name for it is "partial 16S ribosomal RNA". It matches the Rfam family "Bacterial small subunit ribosomal RNA", at positions 30 to 507 of the family's 1533-position model. The record is from RNAcentral.